CCAGUGCCAUGGAAACACUAUGGGGUGGGAAUCAUUGGAGUCAGCUGAACUGGGUUGAGUUCUAUGCCACUUAGCAGUGCGCCCUUGGAUGGGUGUCUUAACCUUUCUAGUCUUGCAUCUGUAGAAUGGGAAUUACAAUACCUGUCUUGUUUUCCUCCAAGAUUAUUGUAAAGAAUUGGUGAAAUAGAUGGAUAAUCACAAGAUGCCAAGGGCACACAAUGAGAAGAAGCGAUGUAACCUCAGGCCCCAGGGUGAGGUUGGCGUCCGCUAGCUGAUGUAUUCCCCCAAUCCUGGCGGUGUUCCUCUGCACUCUUGUGCCUGUGAUGUGGUGCUGGCUGGAGGAGGAGAUAAGAAGACUGAAUGUGAAGCCAUUUUACUGGGGAGCUGCUGCCCUGCUGUCAAAGGCUCUGUGGUUGGAGCUGAGACCAGACCUUCCCUGACCAGGAGAAGCUGUGGGAGAGUUAAGAUCCCUGGAGUUACGUCUCGUGUAUGUAAGCAUCUGGUCCUAGUAUUUGUGCUUGUAGGGAACACAAUGAUUUGACCCGGAAGUGCUUGUCACAGGUCACCAGCUCUGUGGUAACCGUAGAGAAACACCUCAUGGUGUUUCCUGAUCCCUGUGGAGCUGUGGCUUGGCUUUGCCUGCAAAUCUUCUCAUCUCAUCCUCAGCCGGAUCUUGCACCUGGCUGGCUCCUUGGACCGGUUCCCUUGAAUUUCCAGCAGUCCUUGUGGGAAUGAAACCAAGGGCCUAGUUUAUUGGUGGACUCCUGGCAGAACUUCCAG
RNAcentral lists this long non-coding RNA (780 nucleotides) under Felis catus (domestic cat). Its description in RNAcentral is "lncRNA (ENSFCAG00000051304.1)". The record is from RNAcentral. Lineage: Eukaryota; Metazoa; Chordata; Mammalia; Carnivora; Felidae.